Molecule: ribosomal RNA, 331 nt
Filed under: uncultured eukaryote
Lineage: Eukaryota
Description: partial 18S ribosomal RNA
Rfam family: Eukaryotic small subunit ribosomal RNA
Source: RNAcentral
CCCUUAGAUGUUCUAGGCCGCACGCGCGCUACACUGACGAAGUCAGCGAGCAUGUCCUACGCCGACAGGUGCGGGGAAUCUUGUCAAACUUCGUCGUGAUGGGGAUUGAUUAUUGAAAUUCUUGAUCAUCAACGAGGAAUUCCUAGUAAGCGCAAGUCAGCAGCUUGCGUUGAUUACGUCCCUGCCCUUUGUACACACCGCCCGUCGCUACUACCGAUUGAAUGGUUUAGUGAGAUCUUCGGAUUGGCGCCACUGCGGCUCAGCAAUGGGCUCGGUGGAUGCCGAAAAGUUGAUCAAACUUGAUCAUUUAGAGGAAGUAAAAGUCGUAACA